RNAcentral lists this ribosomal RNA (421 nucleotides) under Pholcus barisan. RNAcentral describes it as "partial 16S ribosomal RNA". It matches the Rfam family "Bacterial large subunit ribosomal RNA", at positions 1829 to 2597 of the family's 2925-position model. Lineage: Eukaryota; Metazoa; Arthropoda; Arachnida; Araneae; Pholcidae. The record is from RNAcentral.
UGCUUUAAGUUAUAAUUUAAAGUAAAACCUGCUCAAUGAUUAUUAUAUAGCCGCAGCUAUACUGUGCUAAGGUAGCAUAAUAACUUGUUUCUUAAUUAGAAAAUUGUAUGAAUGGUCUAACAUUUAAAACCUGUAUCUACACAAUAAAUAAAAUUAGAAAAGAUGUAAAAACCCAUCUAAAAAAAAGUAAGACGACAAGACCCUAAUAAACUUAAACAAUUUAGUUGGGGAAACUAAAUAAAAAAACUUUAUAUAUUUUACCAAAUACCUUAAAAUAAAAAAAAGUUACUAUAGGGAUAACAGCGUUAUUUCUUUUAAGAGAUCUAAUCUAAAAAGAACUUUACGACCUCGAUGUUGAAUUAUUUAUCCUGAUAAGAGCACAAACUUAUUCAAAGGUAGUCUGUUCGACUAUUAAAAAUUU